Molecule: long non-coding RNA, 1396 nt
Filed under: Phasianus colchicus (ring-necked pheasant)
Lineage: Eukaryota; Metazoa; Chordata; Aves; Galliformes; Phasianidae
Description: lncRNA (ENSPCLG00000014609.1)
Source: RNAcentral
GAACCCCCCAUAAUCCCACCUAAUCUCCCCAUAAUCCCCCCAAAACCCCCAUAAUCCCCCAUAAUCCCCCCUAAUCCCCCAUAAUCCCCCCUAAUCCCAUACCUGAUCGGUGCACCAAUACCAGCCCGCUGUCGCCCCUAAUCCCAAAAGCAUUCCAGGCCACGGCAAAUCCCCUCCCGGGGGGCGCAGAAGUUUUAGGGCCAAAGCUCGAUGGGGGCAACGCUGAGUUGUGGGGGGCAGAGAAAGGGGGAAGCGAUGGAAAAGGGACGGGACCCCCCCCACGGCGGUCAGGGCUGCGGGAUUAGAUGGGAUUAUGGGGGAUUAGAUGGGAUUAUGGGGCGUUAUAUGGGAUUAUGGGGUAUUAGAUGGGAUUAUGGGGUGUUAUGGGGUGUUCUAUGGGAUUAUGGGGGGUUCUAUGGGAUUAUAUGGGGGCAGCGAAAGGGGGAAGCGAUGGAAAAGGGACGGGACCCCCCCACGGCGGUCAGGGCUGCGGGAUUAGAUGGGAUUAUGUGGGAUUAUAUGGGAUUAUAUAGGAUUACGGGGUGUUAUAUGGGAUUAGGGGGGGUUAUAUGGGAUUAUGGGGGUGUUAUAUGGGAUUAUGGGGGGUAAUAUGGGAUUAUGGGGAGUUAUAUGGGAUUAUAUGGGGGGAAGAGAUGGAAGAGGGAUGGGACACCCCCCACCAGAAGUCAGGGUUGUGGGAUUAGAUGAGAUUAUGGGGGAUUAGAUGGGAUUAUAGGCGUUUUAUAUGGGAUUAUGUGGGAUUAGAUGGGAUUAUGGGGUAUUAUGGGGUGUUAUAUGGGAUUAUGGGGGGUUAUAUGGGAUUAUAUGGGGGGAAGCGAUGGAAAAGGGACGGGACCCCCCCACGGCGGUCGGGGCUGCGGGAUUAGAUGGGAUUAUGGGGGAUUAGAUGGGAUUAUGGGGGUGUUAUAUGGGAUUAGGGGGCGUUAUAUGGGAUUAUGAGGGAUUAGAUGGGAUUAUGGGGUGUUAUGGGGUGUUAUAUGGGAUUAUAUGGGGGGAAGAGAUGGAAGAGGGAUGGGACCCCCCCACGGCGGUCAGGGCUGCGGGAUUAGAUGGGAUUAUGGGGGAUUAGAUGGGAUUAUGGGGGNNNNNNNNNNNNNNNNNNNNNNNNNNNNNNNNNNNNNNNNNNNNNNNNNNNNNNNNNNNNNGACCCCCCCCACCAGAAGUCAGGGUUGUGGGAUUAGAUGGGAUUAUGGGGGAUUAGAUGGGAUUAUGGGCGUUAUAUGGGAUUAUGGGGUAUUAGAUGGGAUUAUGGGGUGUUAUGGUGUGUUAUAUGGGAUUAUGGGGUGUUAUAUGGGAUUAUGGGGUGUUAUAUGGGAUUAUGGGGGGUUAUAUGGGAUUAUAUGGGGGCAGCGAAAGGGGGAAGCGAUGGAAAAGG